AUGCACGCUGGCGGCGUGCCUCAUCCAUGCAAGUCGAGCGAACGGACGAGAAGCUUGCUUCUCUGAUGUUAGCGGCGGACGGGUGAGUAACACGUGGCUAACCUACCUAUAAGACUGGGAUAACUUCGGGAAACCGGAGCUAAUACCGGAUAAUAUUUUGAACCGCAUGGUUCAAAAGUGAAAGACGGUCUUGCUGUCACUUAUAGAUGGAUCCGCGCUGCAUUAGCUAGUUGGUAAGGUAACGGCUUACCAAGGCAACGAUGCAUAGCCGACCUGAGAGGGUGAUCGGCCACACUGGAACUGAGACACGGUCCAGACUCCUACGGGAGGCAGCAGUAGGGAAUCUUCCGCAAUGGGCGAAAGCCUGACGGAGCAAUGCCGCGUGAGUGAUGAAGGUCUUCGGAUCGUAAAACUCUGUUAUUAGGGAAGAACAUAUGUGUAAGUAACUGUGCACAUCUUGACGGUACCUAAUCAGAAAGCCACGGCUAACUACGUG
This 496-nucleotide ribosomal RNA is filed under the name uncultured bacterium. RNAcentral describes it as "partial 16S ribosomal RNA". It matches the Rfam family "Bacterial small subunit ribosomal RNA", at positions 29 to 507 of the family's 1533-position model. The record is from RNAcentral.